GACGAACGCUGGCGGCGUGCUUAACACAUGCAAGUCGAACGGAAAGGCCCUGCUUUUGUGGGGUGCUCGAGUGGCGAACGGGUGAGUAACACGUGAGUAACCUGCCCUUGACUUUGGGAUAACUUCAGGAAACUGGGGCUAAUACCGGAUAGGAGCUCCUGCUGCAUGGUGGGGGUUGGAAAGUUUCGGCGGUUGGGGAUGGACUCGCGGCCUAUCAGCUUGUUGGUGGGGUAGUGGCUUACCAAGGCUUUGACGGGUAGCCGGCCUGAGAGGGUGACCGGCCACAUUGGGACAGAGAUACGGCCCAGACUCCUACGGGAGGCAGCAGUGGGGAAUAUUGCACAAUGGGCGGAAGCCUGAUGCAGCAACGCCGCGUGCGGGAUGACGGCCUUCGGGUUGUAAACCGCUUUCGCCUGUGACGAAGCGUGAGUGACGGUAAUGGGUAAAGAAGCACCGGCUAACUACGUGCCAGCAGCCGCGGUGAUACGUAGGGUGCGAGCGUUGUCCGGAUUUAUUGGGCGUAAAGGGCUCGUAGGUGGUUGAUCGCGUCGGAAGUGUAAUCUUGGGGCUUAACCCUGAGCGUGCUUUCGAUACGGGUUGACUUGAGGAAGGUAGGGGAGAAUGGAAUUCCUGGUGGAGCGGUGGAAUGCGCAGAUAUCAGGAGGAACACCAGUGGCGAAGGCGGUUCUCUGGGCCUUUCCUGACGCUGAGGAGCGAAAGCGUGGGGAGCGAACAGGCUUAGAUACCCUGGUAGUCCACGCUGUAAACGGUGGGUACUAGGUGUGGGGUCCAUUCCACGGGUUCCGUGCCGUAGCUAACGCUUUAAGUACCCCGCCUGGGGAGUACGGCCGCAAGGCUAAAACUCAAAGGAAUUGACGGGGCCCCGCACAAGCGGCGGAGCAUGCGGAUUAAUUCGAUGCAACGCGUAGAACCUUACCUGGGUUUGACAUGGGUCGGGAGUGCUCAGAGAUGGGUGUGCCUCUUUUGGGGUCGGUUCACAGGUGGUGCAUGGCUGUCGUCAGCUCGUGUCGUGAGAUGUUGGGUUAAGUCCCGCAACGAGCGCAACCCUUGUUCACUGUUGCCAGCACGUUAUGGUGGGGACUCAGUGGAGACCGCCGGGGUCAACUCGGAGGAAGGUGGGGAUGACGUCAAGUCAUCAUGCCCCUUAUGUCCAGGGCUUCACGCAUGCUACAAUGGCUGGUACAGAGAGUGGCGAGCCUGUGAGGGUGAGCGAAUCUCGGAAAGCCGGUCUCAGUUCGGAUUGGGGUCUGCAACUCGACCUCAUGAAGUCGGAGUCGCUAGUAAUCGCAGAUCAGCAACGCUGCGGUGAAUACGUUCCCGGGGCU
Molecule: ribosomal RNA, 1346 nt
Filed under: uncultured bacterium
Lineage: Bacteria
Description: partial 16S ribosomal RNA
Rfam family: Bacterial small subunit ribosomal RNA
Source: RNAcentral